RNAcentral lists this ribosomal RNA (2321 nucleotides) under Candidatus Woesebacteria bacterium GW2011_GWB1_39_10b. Its description in RNAcentral is "bacterial SSU rRNA". The stretch from base 1 to 510 matches the Rfam family "Bacterial small subunit ribosomal RNA", at positions 946 to 1533 of the family's 1533-position model. The record is from RNAcentral. Lineage: Bacteria; Candidatus Woeseibacteriota.
UUAAUUCGAGACGAACCGAAGAACCUUACCUGGACUUGACAUCUUGCCGUUUUAUUCUGAUAGAAAUAUCGGGAGAUCCUUCGAAAGUUGGAUGGUAGGACAGGUGUUGCAUGGCUAUCGUCAGCUCGUGUCGUGGGAUGUUCCCUUCAGUGGGGUAACGAGCGCAACCCUCGCCGUAUGUUAAAUUGUUCAUACGGGACUGGUCGCCUUUGGCGACAGGAAGUGGGGACGACGUUAAGUCAGCAUGGCCCUUAUGUCCAGGGCAACACACAUGCUACAAUGAAGCCGACAAUGGGUUGCCAAGUGGUAACACGGAGCUAAUCCCAUCAAACGGCUUCUCAGUGGGGAUUGGGGGCUGCAACUCGCCCUCAUGAACGCGGAAUUGGUAGUAAUCGCGAAUCAGCUAAGUCGCGGUGAAUACGUUCUCGGGUCUUGUACACACCGCCUAUAGUAAUUAUAUUUAGGAACAACGCGCCUAGCAGUUGUAUCCUCUAGUAGAUUAAAAUUCUACCUCCGAUUUAAUCGGAGUAGCCAAAAAAAUUUGACAGUCCUUAUUGGGCAACUGAUAAGGAUGGAGGGUCUGAGGCAAAUGGCAGGGAUAGUAAGUAAGGAUGCAAGCGACUUUCGCCGGGCGGUCGGAAGGAAGUUGCUGUAAAAAGUCCACUAUUCAUGCCGGGAAAAGAGGAUAUGAUAACCUAGGGAGAUCCUUAUAAGAUUGAGGUUAAGGCUUAUAGGGAAGUCAGCUUCUUCAUAUUAGGUAAUUGAGCAAGUCUGACUUGCUUGACAUUUUCGGGUUAUAUUUGUAAUCUGAAAUUAUUAUUACUGAAGGGAGAAACGUAAGUGUUAGUAACGCCUGAUUACAUUGUAGGACUCACAGAAGGUGAAGGUUGUUUUCUUGUUAGUUUGAGAAAGGAUAAUCGGAUUGAAUUUCGGUUUUUCAUAGCACAAGCAAUAGGGAAUAAACCUCUUCUUGAAGAAAUAAAAAAGUUUUUUGUAGUAGGAAGUGUCUACCAAAAAUCGAACGUAAAAGGGAAAUUGCCAGCAUAUGUAUUUGAAAUUUCAAAAAGGGAUGACAUUUACAAAGUGUUAAUUCCCUUUUUUCAAAGAUAUAAACUUAAGGGGAUUAAGGCAAGAUCCUUUUCAGUAUUUGAGGAAAUCGCAAGAUUGGUUAAAGGUAGACAAGACAAGAGAAAACUGACUAAGGAAGAACUUGAUUAUAUUACAUAUUUAAGAUCAGGGAUGAAUAAACAUUACGGCUCGCCCGGUGCGGGAAAGCCGCUCGCCGGGUGGGAACGCGCAAUAACCUCAAUGAAGCGCAAUCCGUCAAGUUAGUGAAGUUGGUAGCACCCGAAUCCCGAUAGUAUCGGGGCAAGGUGAGACCAGCGACAAGAAUUAAGUCGUAAAUGCAUUCUGCAUUUGUUGCGACCUAGGAAAGUAAUUUCCUUGUAAAAUCCAGCUGUAUCGGUGAAGCCUUUACAACUUAGGAGUAAAGGAAUAAAGAACUGGAGAGAAUAGUGAUUAUUCUCUAAAUUCUUUUAAUCUUAUAUUCUUAAUGUUGAUGGUAAUACCGAGGGAACCCUUCGACAAAGCUCAGGGCCAUAGCCACGAGCGAAGUCGAGUGGGACUCCGUAGAGACUACACGCUGGCUCCGCAAAUUUCGAAAGCAUAUUUAUUUGGUCUUUUGCACGAUGCCACAGUAAGAAGAACGACCUACCGUAUAGCUACCAAGAGCGAAUUAUUCGCUGGUAUUAUUCAACAGGGAAUAAAGGAUCUUGGUAGAAAAGCUUGGAUAUAUAAAGAAGGAAAAAAUCGUAAUCUUUGGAUUAUUGAAUUUUCCAAAGAUCUGUUAAGAAGUUUUAGAAUUAAAACAAGAAAAGAUAAGCUUGAUUUUAUACGGGGGUUUUUCGACGCUGAAGGCGGAAUGGCAAAGCAUUCUCAGGUUAGAUUUUACUUGUAUUUCUGUCAGAAGAAUAAAACAGUUCUUUUGAAGAUAAAGAAGUAUUUAGCCGAAUUGGGAAUUGAAAGUGGAGUAAUUCACAAUCCAAGUAAAAAAGUAGAUCCUGAUUAUUGGAGGUUUUUUAUCAGAGCGAAAUCAUAUAAAGACUUUGCUACGAUUAUUGACUCCAAUCAUCCGGAAAAACUUUCAAUAUUGCGGAUGAAGAUAUAGUCCAUGCCCCCGCGUACCAUUCGGUACACGGCGAUGAACCAAAUGGUUCGUUGUUCGAAAGACAGGGAAUAAACCCCGAAAAUUUCCGUUGGAAAUAACGGGGCGAGCAUGAACAAGGUAUCCGUUCUGGAAGGAGCGGAUGGAUCACCUCCUU